This 59-nucleotide ribosomal RNA is filed under the name Penicillium poederi. RNAcentral's name for it is "Penicillium sp. MK-2017a partial 28S ribosomal RNA". The record is from RNAcentral. Lineage: Eukaryota; Fungi; Ascomycota; Eurotiomycetes; Eurotiales; Aspergillaceae.
UGACCUCGGAUCAGGUAGGGAUACCCGCUGAACAUAAGCAUUUCAAUAAGCGGAGGAAA